This 551-nucleotide ribosomal RNA is filed under the name uncultured bacterium. Its description in RNAcentral is "partial 16S ribosomal RNA". It matches the Rfam family "Bacterial small subunit ribosomal RNA", at positions 355 to 897 of the family's 1533-position model. The record is from RNAcentral.
UAGGGAAUCUUCCACAAUGGACGCAAGUCUGAUGGAGCAACGCCGCGUGAGUGAAGAAGGUUUUCGGACCGUAAAGCUCUGUUGUUGGUGAAGAAGGAUAGAGGUAGUAACUGGCCCUUUAUUUGACGGUAAUCAACCAGAAAGUCACGGCUAACUACGUGCCAGCAGCCGCGGUAAUCGUAGGUGGCAAGCGUUGUCCGGAUUUAUUGGGCGUAAAGCGAGCGCAGGCGGAAGAAUAAGUCUGAUGUGAAAGCCCUCGGCUUAACCGAGGAAUUGCAUCGGAAACUGUUUUCUUGAGUGCAGAAGAGGAGAGUAGAACUCCAUGUGUAGCGGUGGAAUGCGUAGAUAUAUGGAAGAAUACCAGUGGCGAAGGCGGCUCUCUGGUCUGCAACUGACGCUGAGGCUCGAAAGCAUGGGUAGCGAACAGGAUUAGAUACCCUGGUAGUCCAUGCCGUAAACGAUGAGUGCUAAGUGUUGGGAGGCUUCCGCCUCUCAGUGCUGCAGCUAACGCAUUAAGCACUCCGCCUGGGGGAGUACGACCGCAAGGUUGA